ACCGAAUUAGCCGGAUCCUGAUUAGCGCGAUGAUAUCAUCUUGGAUGUGACAUUUCUUCUCGGAUAAAAUAAGCGACAUACGAAGAACGGGCCUCUGAUAUCGUGUGAUAUAACGUUAAUUAUGUUUUAUUUGUUAAUCUUUGUUGCCAUCAUGGAUUAUGGCUUGUUUUCUUUAAUUUAUGGCUCGAGACUGAAGAAAACACGACAACGUCACCGUGAUGCCUAUGUGAGGCAGAUUUCAUGUCAGAGGCACAGAGGUCAGCGCUGCACUAGACCUAC
RNAcentral lists this long non-coding RNA (279 nucleotides) under Sinocyclocheilus anshuiensis. Its description in RNAcentral is "lncRNA (ENSSANG00000037118.1)". Lineage: Eukaryota; Metazoa; Chordata; Actinopteri; Cypriniformes; Cyprinidae. The record is from RNAcentral.